UACGGGGGGGGCAAGCGUUGUUCGGAAUUACUGGGCGUAAAGGGCUCGUAGGCGGCCAACUAAGUCAGACGUGAAAUCCCUCGGCUUAACCGGGGAACUGCGUCUGAUACUGGAUGGCUUGAGUUUGGGAGAGGGAUGCGGAAUUCCAGGGUGUAGCGGUGAAAUGCGUAGGAUAAUCUGGAGGAACACCGGUGGCGAAGGCGGCGA
Molecule: ribosomal RNA, 207 nt
Filed under: uncultured bacterium
Lineage: Bacteria
Description: partial 16S ribosomal RNA
Rfam family: Bacterial small subunit ribosomal RNA
Source: RNAcentral